CUCUCCUAUGAAAGGAAGAAAAAAAACUCCGCCUCAACCCUCCCGGCCGGCCCGGCGGCACCAGCUCUCCCAGAUCCGCCUCCGCCUCCGCCUCGAACUGCCGUCCCCUCGAGACAGCACCGCCGCUCCUCUCGCCUAUCUUCGUUGCCUUCCUGCUCUCUGCUCCAGCCGCUCUAGAACCACCUCUCCUAGAUCCCUGCACCACCUACCCUGAUUCAAGUCUCUGAAUCCCGCCUCCGAGCGCCGCCACUACCCUCUAUCCUCGACUCCUCCGACGUGCGUCUCACUCUCAGCUCCAUGGAUGCCCUCUCCCUCACGAUCUGCGUGCACCGCAAUAUACUCGUUGCGCGGAGUGGGUUCUUCACCGCCAAGCUCUCGGACCAUUGGUCCAAUCAGCGGUGGACAUUGUCUCACAUCAACAAGAUCUCCGACUACGACAACGUGGAGAUAGAAACAGCGGCGGCUCCGUCCCCUGCUCGACACCUCGCUGGUGCUGACAGACGCACUCUGUGUCGCUGCAGCAGAGCGGCGCCAGACACAAUUCCCCACCUUGGCCGCCCUCACUCUGCUUAACGCCCCCCUGCUUUUGCAAUGUACAGCAACAACAGGUCGACUAAAUUGCUUACAUUUAAUGCAGCGAGUUGAUACCAUCCACGUUUGAUACAGGUAGAUGUAUAUCAGCUAUAACUUCUCUUGCCAAUUUAGUAAACAAAUCUGCUAUUUUGAAUACUGUCUUGAGCACUGCAUUGCAGAAUCAUGGGAGAGUUUAGGUUUGAAGCAUCCCCUCAAUCGUACUAUAUCUAUAUCAUCAAGAUCACGGGUGUGUUCUCUCUAAUAUACUUCCGUGUAUAUGCAAGUUUGUGAAUUUCUAAGAGAUACACUUGGUCUACAAUAUUACCAGAUGUAGUAGAUCAUUUUAAAGUGUCAAUGUCAUGAUGCAUUAAUUCGUGAGAAAAUGGUUGCAUCUUCCACUAAUUUCCUGAUAAUGGUUUAUUUGAUUAUUCUUUUUUCAGCAGAACUAAUGUAGAUGUGUUGAAGCAAUCUUGCGUUGCCUGUUAUAGAUUAUCCAUUUUGGUUAUCUCGACUAUGAAGCAUCGAUUUCUGUUCCAUGAUUCCAAAAUUCAUACUUUAUGCAAAGAGGAAAUGUUCCAAUUCCUUGUGGAACUAAGACAGUUGUGAAGAAAGUAGCUUUUCCAAGUCUUGUAACCUUACAAUAAUUACUAGAUUAUUAGUAUUCACUUAUAGUAUUCAUACAUGUAAGGGUGCCAUUGCCUGAGAUUAACUGAUGGUUGUGCCACUUAACUAUUCUUCAGGUUAUUGAUCUAUCUACGGUUCACGACUCCUGCAUGCCCAGUGAAGGACAUCAUAAGUGCAGUGCUUGGUGUUUGCUUUCAUUUUGUCUUUGGAUUUGUGGAUUUUAUUCGCCAUGUCGAGCCUUUCAAUAUGCGGCUUGAUGUCUUGGUGUUACGUAACAUACCAUUGUCUUGGUCCUUUCUACUACUGCACAACGUCAUGGUCCAAACAAUGAAAACCAUGACUGAAAUCAUCAAGCAAUUGACUUCAGACAUGCACUAAGACACACCUUUAAGACUAGUACCAUGAGAUUGUCACUGCUGUUUUGCGUGAAUAGCGUGCUUCAAUUUAGUCGUUACAUAUUUAUUUAGUACUCCUUAAGAAUAACAUGAAACAGUGUACUCUUGUAUGUUCAAUAUUGUGUCAGGACAAGCCUCUGGCUGCUGAGGUAAAUUACAAAGCACAAGGAUCGAAGAGAUGCGAAGGGUGGGAGGCAUACACUUGUUUGUUUGUUUUUUGCGAAAGAACAUACAAUUGUUAACAGUGUGUAUUCACCCUGAACUUGUAUACUGGCGAUGACACGACAAUUACUUUAUUUUUGUUCCAGUGACCAGAAAAGAUGGCUUACAAAAUGUGAUAUCAUUACGUGCACAGGUAUGCAUCAUUUGCUUUUCUUGGCAUUCCCUUUUCUAAAUAGAUUUACUUAAUUGUGGUAACUAAACAGUGUGUUAUUUGUUUAGGAUUCUUGUUUCCUUAAGAUAUGUUGCCACUUUUUAUGCCUUAACAUUCUUCUCUAUGUAGUGCAGAUUAUUUGCUAAGUAAAACCAGCAGUUCAGAACAAAAAGAGAACAUCCACAUUUAAACAAGCAAUGUUAUCUCUUUUUAGUUUCAUGCGUCCCCUGAAAUAAUGUGUCAUUAUAUAUAUAAAAAGAUCACUGUACUUUCUUCUUUCCAUGUCGCAAAUUUCAUUUGUAAUUUUUACCUGUCCCAGUUUCAUAUCAGAUUCGGAGACAUCUGAUAUAAUUAAAGACAUCUAUGUCCUAUUUUGCCUCGAGAAGUUGCACUUGUUAAAUACUUAAGUGCAUCUCGUUCAUAUUAUAAUCUGCUGGUGUUGUGGUGUAUUCCUAACUUCUGGGCUGUGUGAAAAUCUCUAUCAAAAUCAAAGUUGAGUGGCAGCCGUACUUCUAUUUGUUGUCAUUAUUACAAUGAUAUAUUUUCAUUUGCAUACUUGUCUGACUUGUGUUGCCAUCACCUUCUGAUUAUUUGCAUUGGUCGUACCUUGUGAUCCCUGUUUUCAUGUAUCUCACAGCUAGUUCGAUUACUUGUAGAGAGUAACACAAUGCUGGAGGUAACCAGAAUUGUGGGAGAAAUAUCUAUGGUGAUCAGCAUAAUAUGAGUGACACAACUGAGUGAAGUUCUCAAGCCAAGAUGUUGAUGGUGUUUGAUGUUUUUGGACCAUUAAUCUUUAGAAAAAUGUUAAGAACAUUCUGUUCUAGUUACUAUUUCAUAUAUUUUUUAAGGAUCAU
Molecule: long non-coding RNA, 2819 nt
Organism: Triticum dicoccoides
Lineage: Eukaryota; Viridiplantae; Streptophyta; Magnoliopsida; Poales; Poaceae
Exons: 2
Source: RefSeq, a predicted model, not a curated record